AUUAAUAAUCAUUGUGUCAAGAAAACACAAAGUCCUGAUUCCUGGAAGGGGGCCUCUGUGUUGCAGAGAGAUACACAUAAACACACAAGACUUGGAGAGGCCAAGAACAUUGUUGGACAGGAGCUGUGGGUACCUAGGAGGAAAAUGGAGCUGAGGCAGCACUAUGGGGAGGCCAUGCAACUGACAGUUGUUACAGGGAACAUUUCUCAUGUGUAAACAGAAAAGAAGGAAGAAACAGAAGAGAACUAAGAAAAGCGACUCUCCUGUCACAGAAUUGCCAGGGAACAAAUAAGCCUUCAAGCUGUCCUACCAUACACAGGGGAUCCUGUCAAUUUGGGUUACAGUUCUUGUUUUAUUAUAUGCUCUGAAAGGGCAAAAUGGAUCCAUUUAUCAUUCCAAAUUCAGUGCCUGUGGGCUUCUGCAGCACAAGAGGCCAUUUCACAGACAUUCCUGUAUUGAUGGCAGACUUUAUUCUUCUGCCGGCAUGAAAGGAAGAGACAGAGGAGAUGAGACCAAAAUUUCAGCUCCUGAGUUGGAGUUCUUUUCAUGCACCUGUCACCUGUGGAUUCCACCAAGUGUGGGCCGUGAGCCAGCAACAUCUGCAGCCCUGGUGAGUGUGGAAGACCAAGGAUUUCAAGUCUUGACCCAGACCUCCUGCAGUGCAACAUGAAUAUUAACAACAUCCUCCCCCACAUCAGCUGAGUCCAACUCAUGUCAAGUUGACAAACUGAGACAGCUCACCAGCAGACACUCCCUAGGACCUCUCCAUCAAGUGUAUCUGGGACCUGCUAUUCUGCAAAGGGUUCAACGACUCCUCCAGGUCCAACUCCUCCAGGACUUGGGCAAGAAAGAACUUUAAAAUCAUCCACACAUUCCUUUUCACUCUGUGAAUAAUAAGCUUGUGAGAUCAUUGUCAGCUGGGACCAUUGGGAGCUCUUACUCUGUUAAGCACAGAGUUAUCAAAGCCAUGAAGUGGAAUUGGACUUACUUAGCAGGAUCCUUGAAAUCCUCUAAUGUUCAGGGGAAAGAAAAUUUGAACAUAUUGAAU
Non-coding RNA from Peromyscus maniculatus bairdii (prairie deer mouse), 1048 nucleotides. Lineage: Eukaryota; Metazoa; Chordata; Mammalia; Rodentia; Cricetidae. The record is from RefSeq and is a predicted model, not a curated record.